Molecule: ribosomal RNA, 253 nt
Filed under: uncultured bacterium
Lineage: Bacteria
Description: partial 16S ribosomal RNA
Rfam family: Bacterial small subunit ribosomal RNA
Source: RNAcentral
UACAGAUGUCCCAAGCGUUGUUCGGAUUCACUGGGCGUAAAGGGUGCGUAGGUGGUGAGGUAAGUCGGAUGUGAAAUCUCCGGGCUCAACCCGGAAACUGCAUUGGAAACUACCUUGCUUGAGGAUUUGAGGGGGGAUUGGAAUACUUGGUGUAGCAGUGAAAUGCGUAGAUAUCAAGUGGAACACCAGUGGCGAAGGCGAAUCCCUGGAAAAUACCUGACACUGAGGCACGAAAGCUAGGGGAGCAAACAGG